This 507-nucleotide ribosomal RNA is filed under the name uncultured bacterium. Its description in RNAcentral is "partial 16S ribosomal RNA". It matches the Rfam family "Bacterial small subunit ribosomal RNA", at positions 899 to 1397 of the family's 1533-position model. The record is from RNAcentral.
ACUCAAAUGAAUAGACGGGGGCUCACACAAGCGGUGGAGGAUGUGGCUCAAUUCGAAGCAACGCGAAGAACCUUACCUGGGUUUGACAUGCUAGGAUUAGCUUUGUGAAAGCAAAGUGACGCGGCUUGCCGUGGAACUAGCACAGGUGCUGCAUGGCUGUCGUCAGCUCGUGCUGUGAAGUGUCGGGUUAAGUCCCUUAACGAGCGAAACCCUUGUCGCUAGUUGCCAGCGAGUAAAGUCGGGCACUUUAGCGAGACUGCCGGUGUUAAACCGGAGGAAGGUGGGGACGACGUCAAGUCCUCAUGGCCUUUAUGCCCAGGGUUGCACACGUCCUACAAUGGGAUGGUACAGAGCGAUGCGAGACCGCGAGGUGGAGCAAAUCGCAGAAAACUUCCCUCAGUUCGGAUUGCAGGCUGCAACUCGCCUGCAUGAAGCUGGAAUCGCUAGUAAUCGCGCAUCAGCUAUGGCGCGGUGAAUGUGUUCCUGAGCCUUGCACACACCGCCCGU